RNAcentral lists this ribosomal RNA (506 nucleotides) under uncultured bacterium. Its description in RNAcentral is "partial 16S ribosomal RNA". It matches the Rfam family "Bacterial small subunit ribosomal RNA", at positions 29 to 523 of the family's 1533-position model. The record is from RNAcentral.
AGUGAACGCUGGCGGUAGGCCUAACACAUGCAAGUCGAACGGCAGCACAGGAGAGCUUGCUCUCUGGGUGGCGAGUGGCGGACGGGUGAGGAAUACAUCGGAAUCUACUCUGUCGUGGGGGAUAACGUAGGGAAACUUACGCUAAUACCGCAUACGACCUACGGGUGAAAGCAGGGGAUCUUCGGACCUUGCGCGAUUGAAUGAGCCGAUGUCGGAUUAGCUAGUUGGCGGGGUAAAGGCCCACCAAGGCGACAAUCCGUAGCUGGUCUGAGAGGAUGAUCAGCCACACUGGAACUGAGACACGGUCCAGACUCCUACGGGAGGCAGCAGUGGGGAAUAUUGGACAAUGGGCGCAAGCCUGAUCCAGCCAUACCGCGUGGGUGAAGUAGGCCUUCGGGUUGUAAAGCCCUUUUGUUGGGAAAGAAAUCCAGCUGGCUAAUACCCGGUUGGGAUGACGGUCCCCAAAGAAUAAGCACCGGCUAACUUCGUGCCAGCAGCCGCAGUAA